Molecule: ribosomal RNA, 254 nt
Filed under: uncultured bacterium
Lineage: Bacteria
Description: partial 16S ribosomal RNA
Rfam family: Bacterial small subunit ribosomal RNA
Source: RNAcentral
UACGUAGGUGGCAAGCGUUGUCCGGAAUUAUUGGGCGUAAAGCGCGCGCAGGCGGCCUCUUAAGUCUGAUGUGAAAGCCCCCCGGCUCAGCCGGGGAGGGCCAUUGGAAACUGGGAGGCUUGAGUAUAGGAGAGAAGAGUGGAAUUCCACGUGUAGCGGUGAAAUGCGUAGAGAUGCGGAGGAACACCAGUGGCGAAGGCGACUCUUUGGCCUAUAACUGACGCUGAGGCGCGAAAGCGUGGGGAGCAAACAGG